UACGUAGGUGGCGAGCGUUGUCCGGAUUUACUGGGCGUAAAGAGCGCGCAGGCGGCUGGUCAAGUCCGAUGUGAAAGCUCCCGGCUUAACUGGGAAAUUGCAUCGGAAACUGAUCGGCUGGAAGGUGGGAGAGGGUAGCGGAAUUCCCGGUGUAGAGGUGAAAUUCGUAGAUAUCAGGAGGAACACCGGUGGCGAAGGCGGCGACCUGGGUGGAUACUGACGCUGAGGUGCGAAAGCGUGGGGAGCAAACAGG
RNAcentral lists this ribosomal RNA (253 nucleotides) under uncultured bacterium. Its description in RNAcentral is "partial 16S ribosomal RNA". It matches the Rfam family "Bacterial small subunit ribosomal RNA", at positions 524 to 776 of the family's 1533-position model. The record is from RNAcentral.